This 617-nucleotide ribosomal RNA is filed under the name uncultured Gammaproteobacteria bacterium. RNAcentral describes it as "bacterial SSU rRNA". It matches the Rfam family "Bacterial small subunit ribosomal RNA", at positions 42 to 651 of the family's 1533-position model. Lineage: Bacteria; Pseudomonadati; Pseudomonadota; Gammaproteobacteria. The record is from RNAcentral.
GCAGGCUUAACACAUGCAAGUCGAGCGGUAACAGAUCUAGCUUGCUAGAUGCUGACGAGCGGCGGACGGGUGAGUAAUGCAUAGGAAACUGCCCAGUAGUGGGGGAUAGCCCGGGGAAACCCGGAUUAAUACCGCAUACGUCCUACGGGAGAAAGCAGGGGAUCUUCGAACCUUGCGCUAUUGGAUGAGCCUAAGUCGGAUUAGCUAGUUGGUGGGGUAAAGGCCUACCAAGGCGACGAUCCGUAGCUGGUCUGAGAGGAUGAUCAGCCACAUCGGGACUGAGACACGGCCCGAACUCCUACGGGAGGCAGCAGUGGGGAAUAUUGGACAAUGGGGGCAACCCUGAUCCAGCCAUGCCGCGUGUGUGAAGAAGGCUUUCGGGUUGUAAAGCACUUUCAGUAGGGAGGAAAACCUUAUGGCUAAUACCCAUGAGGCUUGACGUUACCUACAGAAGAAGCACCGGCUAACUCCGUGCCAGCAGCCGCGGUAAUACGGAGGGUGCAAGCGUUAAUCGGAAUUACUGGGCGUAAAGCGCGCGUAGGUGGUUUGGUAAGCGAGAUGUGAAAGCCCCGGGCUUAACCUGGGAACGGCAUUUCGAACUGUCAACUAAUGUGGUA